UGACGGCAGUCAGCUGAUGCUGUCAGCUAGUGAACGGCAACUGGAUAGACUUCAGGCUUCAGCACUCUUGGUCUAGAAUUCCAGAAGGGACCUGGGUAAGUGGGUAUCCCAUUCCCAGUAAACCAGGUCAUGUGCUACUUACAUCAUACCCACUACAGCAGUCUUAAGGCUGAGGGUUUCAUAUCCUGUGUUGCCCCUUCAAACAUUGAGGUCUGCCACCUCUUCCGAAGAUCCAAAUUAGAUAUGGACCUUAUCUCCUUAUUAUCUUAUUACUUUGUGUAAUAUAUGUAUAUUGGUUUAGUUAUGUUUCUAGAUUUCUAGUUUGUGUACAUUGAAGUAGACAAUAUGUAGAUGUUUAUUCAUGUAUUGUUCUUUCCACCCAACAGAUGACCAGAAAAAAGUCCAAGAAGAUUUUGAUAUAGAUAUGGAGGCUCCAGAAACAGAACGGGCAGCGGUGGCAAUACAGUCCCAGUUCAGAAAAUUCCAAAAGAAAAAGCAAGGAGCAGAUGACUCGUAGUACCUACCUCUUCCUCUAGGGAAUUUAAAUAAAUAAUAAAAGCCUAUCAGAAUAAAAGAGAAAUAUAGAAUGAUUUAUCAGGAAAUUAGGAAAAUCUAGGAUGCAUGUACAGAAGUUUCCAUUAUCUGUAGCUCCAUUAAGCGAACAAUAUAUCAUUGAGCACUUGGUGUGGUUGCUCACUGCAGUACAUUUAUUUAAAAAAAAAAAAAACAGUUUAACUUGUAACCUUCUCUUUUAUGUGAUGUUCUAAUAAAACAUGCUUACUAUAAGAACCGAUGGAAAA
This 800-nucleotide long non-coding RNA is filed under the name Pelobates cultripes (western spadefoot toad). The record is from RNAcentral. Lineage: Eukaryota; Metazoa; Chordata; Amphibia; Anura; Pelobatidae.